GAAUAUACAUGGUCAGAAGUUUGCUAAUAAACCAUUUUUUCUUAUGUAUAUUAUGGAUAAUUUUGAAAAGGCCAUAUUCUGCAGGUAGAGAAUUCAAAAUGAAAUAGACUAGAAAAGAAUCAAAAUACUCAACUUUCAAAGCUUUGAGUUGAGCGGUAAUGUCUUUCAUUUUCAUGAUAUGAUAACGUACGCCUUUUGUAUUGUCAAACCUCAUGCCU
Molecule: long non-coding RNA, 218 nt
Filed under: Elaeis guineensis (African oil palm)
Lineage: Eukaryota; Viridiplantae; Streptophyta; Magnoliopsida; Arecales; Arecaceae
Description: long non-coding RNA (EGUI_LNC034804)
Source: RNAcentral